GCUUGUCGGGCGACCGGGACACUUUAACGAAGCAGUCGUUGAAAGACAACGAGUGCCUGAUGGAGUUCUGCCACCUCUGCUGGUUCUGACGGUAGUAGGGGAACAGGUCCAUUAUCCACUGAUAAAUCUCACUUAAGAUUUUCACUGGCAGUUCUGGCAGCACGCGCUCGGCUACAACCGGUUGCUAGGAGACGCUGCGUUUCAGUUUCCGAGGAUUACCAAUAUAUGAAGCACCUUUAUGAAACCAAUCAGAAGAGAAGAAGGCUUCUUUCUUACCUUGCCAGGGGCCAACUCAAAGAGACACCUCAGCACCACAAGAGAAAUGUUCCCCAAGACCAAUGUGCCGUCCACCUGUGUC
Molecule: long non-coding RNA, 358 nt
Organism: Cyprinus carpio (common carp)
Lineage: Eukaryota; Metazoa; Chordata; Actinopteri; Cypriniformes; Cyprinidae
Exons: 4
Source: RefSeq, a predicted model, not a curated record